UAAAAAAUAAAAUAAAAUAAAAUAAAAUUGGAACGAUACAGAGAUUAGCAUAGCCUCUGCGCAAGGAUGACGUGCAAAUUCGUGAAGCAUCCGCCAUUUUG
Molecule: small nuclear RNA, 101 nt
Organism: Ursus thibetanus thibetanus
Lineage: Eukaryota; Metazoa; Chordata; Mammalia; Carnivora; Ursidae
Source: Ensembl